UGCGUCUAAAACUUCAAAUACAUCUUUGAAUUCUUGCUCCUCCUUUGAGCCUUUUCUGGAUGAACUACGACUACAUGAUGCGCUACUUCUUUGGGACUUUUCUGUUGGCGCUAUCCUCUGUAAAUAGUUCUCCGAUGACUUUUUAUGUUGUUUAUGAGACAGCUGCUGAGCUGGCAGUCCAUCAAAGCCCAUCAAUCGGGCAAUAACACUAGGAUACCUUUGCUUUGAUUCAGCUUCUCUUGACAUCUCUUCAGCUAAUAACUUCUUCAUUGGUGUUCCAGCUGCUUGUUUCAAAGAUC
RNAcentral lists this unclassified non-coding RNA (299 nucleotides) under Hevea brasiliensis (rubber tree). Lineage: Eukaryota; Viridiplantae; Streptophyta; Magnoliopsida; Malpighiales; Euphorbiaceae. The record is from RNAcentral.